Molecule: unclassified non-coding RNA, 1856 nt
Filed under: Apis dorsata (giant honeybee)
Lineage: Eukaryota; Metazoa; Arthropoda; Insecta; Hymenoptera; Apidae
Description: transcriptional adapter 2B, transcript variant X1
Source: RNAcentral
AGUUGGCGAACCUGAAAUGUAGUUCAUAAAUGGUAGGAGAGGAACGCAUGCGUACUCGUUUCGCGACGCAACAGUCGUAAACAACAUUUUUUCCAUAGAGAUUUUUAACGAAUUUACACACGAUAAUUAGAGCGUCCAGAGGGACGCAUCACGAUUUUUCCGCGUUUUCAUACGAUUUCGCGGAAAAAAUGGGGUCAAGCUUACACGUUCAGUGUACGUGAUAAACUUAUGGGUUUCUGGCAUGCGGUGACGUCAUCCGGAUCGUUCUGGAAGAACCCUGCAGGACAAUAAUGGCGGAUUUGUAUGCUAAAUACAACUGCACCUAUUGUCAAGAGGACAUCUCGGGUUUACGUGUAAGAUGUGUAGAAUGCCCAGAUUUCGACCUCUGUUUGCAGUGUUUUUCCGCUGGAGCUGAAAUUGGACCACAUAAAAAUGACCACUCUUAUCAGUUUAUGGAUUCUGGUACCAUUAGCAUAUUUAAUGGUAGAGGAAACUGGACUGCUAGAGAACAACUUAGACUUUUGGAUGCCAUUGAACAAUUUGGUUUUGGAAAUUGGGAAGAUAUUAGUAAACAUAUUGAAACACGUACGCCAGAAGAAGCAAAAGAAGAAUAUAUUGCUAGGUAUCUUGAUGGAAAUAUUGGAAAACAUACAUGGCCUCCUACAGAAAGCUACAAACCAAAUAUUACAGAUCAAACUAAGUCAGAUCAUGGACCUCUAUCACCUGAUCUCACAUCUCGAUUACCACCUUUGGAUAUUACUCCAGAAGAAGCUGCACAAUUGGGAUACAUGCCACAACGAGAUGAUUUUGAAAGGGAUUACAAUCAUGAAGCAGAAUCACUUGUUUCUUCUUUAUUUUUAAAUCCAGCAGAAGAUGAUGAUUUGGAUAUAGCACUUAAACUUGCACAAGUUGACAUGUAUACUAAUAAUUUAAGAGAGAGAGCGCGACGAAAAAGAGUUGUACGCGAUUAUCAGCUUGUUUCUGCAUUUUUUGCUUCAUCUAGGAAAGAUAAAACAAUAAAGAAAAAACAAUCAAAAGAGGAAAAGGAAUUUAGAGAUAGAACAAGAGUAUUUGCACAGUUUUACACGGCACAGGAAUAUGAACAAUUUUUAACAAAUCUUGAAAGGGAAAGAGAAUUACGGUUACGUCUUUCAGAAUUAUUUCGUUAUCGAGAACAUGGUAUUACAAGACAUGAAGAAUGCGCUCAUUUCGAACAAGUGAUGGCACAAACUCAGGGACAAAAUGAUACUGUAGAUCAUUGGAAUGAAAAAAAAUCUGCAUUUGUGAACAGAUUGUAUCAGUUUGCAUUUCACUUAGGGCAGCAGUGGGCCGUCCACACCAAUACACCGCCACACCUCAAAAAAAAGAGAAGAAGAAAAAAGUUACUCUUCCACCGACCGAAAGUACAUUGCAAAAGACUUACCCAGCAGCAGCUUCUCAAUCAAUCAAACCAAUCCCAAUCGGAUGACGACUCUAGCCAAUCAGUGGGCGGAGCCGGAUAACAAUCCAAAUUCUUCCAGCCAGCAUUCUACCAGCUCCAGUUCUGCCGCAGAAAAAAAUUAUACUGCGACAACUUCUGGAAAAUCUUGCACAACAGCGGGAGACUCAGAGGAACGAGAUAUAGAAAUGGAAGCAGCAGCUCAUCUAUUGACAAAACAAGAAAAAUCCUUAUGUCUUCAACUUGAUCUGAAGCCAACACAGUAUUUAACACAAAAGACAUUGUUGUUGCAAGAAUAUCUAAAUGGUAAUAGAAGAUCAGGCAUUGUACCUCAAUCGGAACCAGAGAGUAAGAUAUUACAUUAUCUGGUAGCAAAUGGCUGGAUCGCGGCCAAUUGAUUAAACAUGUAAAAAAUUAA